Molecule: unclassified non-coding RNA, 339 nt
Filed under: soil metagenome
Description: partial contains 5.8S ribosomal RNA, internal transcribed spacer 2, and large subunit ribosomal RNA
Rfam family: 5.8S ribosomal RNA (bases 1-120)
Source: RNAcentral
GAUGAAGAACGUAGCGAAAUGCGAUAAGUAAUGCGAAUUGUAGAAUUCCGUGAGUCAUCGAAUCUUUGAACGCACAUUGCGCCCUUUGGUAUUCCGAAGGGCAUGCCUGUUCGAGCGUCAUUUAUCAACCCUCAAGCCCGGCUUGCGGUUGGGUCCCGCCGUGGGCGAUCACGGCGGACCCGAAAGGUAACGGCGGUGCCCGUGGGGCCCUGGACGCAGCGAGCUUCUCGGCACGCGUCCCGGCGGUCCCCGGCGCCGUCUCCACAAACCCACCACGCAGAUUGACCUCGGAUCAGGUAGGGAUACCCGCUGAACUUAAGCAUAUCAAUAAGCGGAGGA